This 451-nucleotide ribosomal RNA is filed under the name uncultured bacterium. RNAcentral describes it as "partial 16S ribosomal RNA". It matches the Rfam family "Bacterial small subunit ribosomal RNA", at positions 28 to 507 of the family's 1533-position model. The record is from RNAcentral.
AGCGAACGCUGGCGGCAUGCCUAACACAUGCAAGUCGCACGGGGGGGCUUCGGCCUCCCAGUGGCGGACGGGUGAGGAACGCGUAGGGACCUGUCGAGGGGUGGGGGAUAACCGCGGGAAACUGCGGCUAAUACCGCAUGACGCCGCGGCGUGACAGCCGGGGCCAAAGGCGAAAGCCGCCCGCCGAGGGGCCUGCGUCCGAUUAGCUGGUUGGCGGGGUAGCGGCCCACCAAGGCGUCGAUCGGUAGCUGGUCUGAGAGGGUGAUCAGCCACACCGGGACUGAGACACGGCCCGGACUCCUACGGGAGGCAGCAGUGGGGAAUAUUGGACAAGGGGCGCAAGCCUGAUCCAGCAAUGCCGCGUGGGUGAAGAAGGUCUUCGGAUUGUAAAGCCCUUUCGGCGGGGACGAUGGUGACGGUACCCGCAGAAGAAGCCCCGGCUAACUUCGUG